This 36310-nucleotide long non-coding RNA is filed under the name Daucus carota (carrot). RNAcentral describes it as "long non-coding RNA (DCAR_LNC003192)". Lineage: Eukaryota; Viridiplantae; Streptophyta; Magnoliopsida; Apiales; Apiaceae. The record is from RNAcentral.
GUUAUUGAAUUCCUCCUCGUUUCAUUCAUAUACACGUGUGUCUUCUCCCAACUGUUCUGUGAAGUAGUUAUCGAAUUUCCUGCUAUUGCAUUCUUACACAUUUUGUCACAGGACUUAAUCUAGUCUAAUCCACCAACAGUAGCGACAUCGUCGUAAUGAUUAUUGCCUUCAUAGUUCAUUGUUCCUUCAGCACCGCAACUAUUAACUUUACCAAGCUUUUUCUUCAGAUGUACAUGCAAGUAGUUUUAAAGUCAUCAUGAGUUUUACCAUGCAGGUGUGCAGCAAUGGCAGCUCAUCUAAACAUACACGAAAUCUAUUUAAAUUUAAAACCGUUAAAUCUAUUAUUACAGUAUCACACAUUAAAAUGAAGAACAACGCAUUUGAACCGAAAUCCUUUAGUAAUAUUGUUUAUAGUAAUAGUUUUAGGAUAGUUAAUACUUCUAAUUAAGUAUUAAAGUCUUAUUUGACAUUUUAAUUAGCGGUUUUGAAAUUGUGUCAUUAAACAAGUAAGCCAAUAAAUUCUUCUUUAAAUUGUUCUAAUUAAAAGGCCAAGAUAAAUGAAUAAAUAAGUGCUGGUACCGGUUGCCAGUGUGAGUCUGAUGGCAGAUAAUUAUCAUAUCUUCCUCAGGAGUAAAAUUUCCGUGUUUAAUACUAGGGCUACGAUGAUUCACCCACCUCAGUCUACAACUCUAACCAUUAAUCUUUAGUCUUAGUAAUUACAGAACAAGUAUUAUUUCUAUUUUUAUAGGUAAAUGCUCGUUCAGUUAUUGCCUGAUGUAGUUCCCUAAUGUGGUGGAUAACAGUGGUUAUGCAAUUUAGUUUUCACGAGGAUUGAUUCCCUAUUACAAGUCAGUAAGUAUAUUUGCUUUGUUACACCUCGGACUCUGACUUCGGGUUAGCCUUUUUGUAAAGUUUUGCUGAAUGUAUUUACCUUUUGGAUGUAGGUCAGGGAAAGGCACUCCAAAAUUUCCGUACAUGCUUGACCUUGGAAUUCAGGUACUUCAAUAUUCUUGUUAUGUAUUACUAGGCAGUGUCUGUAUUGAUGCAGUAAUGCUAAGUUUUUAAUCUUUUACAGAGUUUUGAUACAAAGUUCCUCAAAAUAUAAUCAGAGCUCCCGCCCACCCCGCUGCAACUAGAAGAAAAUUUGAAACAAUUAAAAGUCCUGGAGAAUGGAUACAAGAUGAAGGUGGGUUUCUAAUUAGGAUACAUCCAUUUUCCAAAUAUCUUCAUAUUAUAUCCCUACUCUUUUGUGUUUCACCAAUAAUCUGAUGGCGGUUGCCGCCGGUGAUAAUCUCCGACGAGGUAAUAGAUUGAGGAGCCGUGUGGUCGGGAUUAUACCCGCCAGGUAAACUUACUCGCGCUUCGAGAGCAAGUCUCUCAUUGAUAUCCCCAACAAGCCCAUGAUCCAGGUACGGCCCACUUGCUAUUUCUACACCUCAAUUAUUACUAUAUUUGUUGUUUAGUUUGACCCUUUGACUUUCUUGUGAUCGUGUAAAUAUAAUGAAUAAUGAUCAUAGUAAUGUCUAAUUUGGAGACUAGAGGUCGAGAGUUUAAGUCUUGUCAUAGUGAGAGUGUUGGAUAUAAUUUAGAAAAUAGAGUUGUAGUUUAGUUUGGUACACAGGCUUCAGACUAAUAGGUGGCCAGUCUACUAUUUGUUUAUAUUUGCGGAAAUGCAGUAAUGUUAACAUACAUUAUGCUUAUUUUAACAAAAUAAUUGUAAAUGCUAGUUUAGUUGUAACUUGUGUGCUUAUUUGUUGUAUUUUUUUAUAUUCGUAUUAGUUAGUUAAGUUACUUUUUUGUAAGUAUUUAUAAUAAGAAAUUAAGUAAUUACAAAUAUUAAAAUUGGGAUAUAAUUAUAUUUUCAAAUUGGUAUACCUAAUGCACAAUAUUUGUUAUUAAUAUUAAGAUAUCUUUUCCAGAAAUGACUAUAAAUAAAUAAUAUAUUCUAAACUAAGAACAAAGGUUUUUUUUAUCAUGUGUAUACAAUUUUGAGACCCUGAGCAAACAGAGACACAGUGCCGAUAAUCAAUUUGCACACCUUAAAAAACGGCACUGGUUCUUAUUAUAAACAAUCAUUAAUCCAUAAUUAAGCAAAAGAACUGGACUUAAUAAAAGGAGCAGAAGGAUCUUCAAGCCUAGGAUAUUCAAGCAGUAAUUUGUCAAUCUAUUCCAUAGAUGGGAUUCUAGCGUCAUCAUAAAUGCUUUCAUUUGACUAAUUCUAUGGAGAAGGAGUUGUCGAAUUCCCCAUUGUUUCAUUCGUAAAAACAAUUGCCUUCUCCUGAUUAUUCUGUUUAGUAGUUAUCGAAUUCACUACUAUUACAUUCUUACACAUCUUGUCAUAGGAGGCCUUUAUGUAGUCUAAUCCACCAAUAGUAGCAACAUCGUCAUAAUGUUUUUAGUCGUCAAAAUUCUGUUUUCCUUCAACACUACAACUGUUAACUAUACCAAGCUUCUUCUUCAGAUGGACAUACCACUAGUUUUUAAUGUCAUUAUCCGUCCUACCAGGCACGUGUGCUGCAAUGGCAGCCCAUCUACACACACACGAAAUUUAAAUAAAAUUUAAAGUGUCAAAUGCAUUAACAUAAUAAUAUAAAUUUAAUUAAAGAACAAAACAUUUCAAAUGAAAUCCUUAACUGAAAUUUUUUAUAGCAAUACUUUUAGAGUAGUUAAUACUUUUAAAAAAGUAAUAAAAUUUUGUUUGACAUUUUUAUUAGCGGUUUUGAGAUUGUAUCAUUAAACACAUAGGCCAAUACAUUAUUCUUUUAAUUGUCCUAUUUGAAAGACCAAGACAAAUGAGUAAAUAAAAGUGCUGUUGCCGGUUGCCAUUGAGAGUUUGAUGACGGAUAAUUGUCUUAUCUUCCUCGGGGGUAAAAUUUCACCGAUAUCAGGGCUAAGAUGAUUCACCUACCUUAGUCUACAACUCUUACCAUUCCUAUGCAACCCUGUUAAAUUACAAAACUAAUCAGGAUAUAUAACCAAAUACAAACUCGCUAAAAUGAGACAUAAAUUAAUAGCACAGUAUAACAAAAAAAAAGUAGAUAUAUACCUAUGCAAGUUUAGGAAGGGUUGUCUAAUUGCAUGUACCAUGUUUUUGGAUGUAAGACACCAACUUACUAUCUUCUUCAGAAGUCCAUGCUCCUUUCGUUUUUUCUUAUAUUUUCUCAGCCGACCUCCUUAUCUCUCUUUCUUCUUAUCUCCGACUAUAUAUAUGUAAGAGAUAUUAAAAAAUUGUUUAAAUGAGUUGCAUAGUGAAUUGAUAUUUAUAGAUAUAAACCAACUAUUUUUACUUAUUCGUACAAAAGUAAAUAUUUUUUUUGCCCCAGGCGCAAAUAUUAUUUAAUAAUUAUGGAUUUUUAUCCCUUCACCCCAGACAAAUUAAAACAAUAUUAUAUUCAAAUUUAUUGAUUUUUCAAGUACGAACUGAAGUUUUUCUCUUGUCAGAUGAACAUACUCGUAUGGUACAUUACUCGUACAAGAAUAUACUCCAUAAAGAGGAAUUACUUUCUCGUACAAGAAUAUAUUCCAUAAAAAGGAAUUUCUUUCAUUCAAGAAUCUCCCGAGUAUGUACACUUGACAAGAAAAAACCUUGGUUAGUAAUAGAAAAAUCAAUUAAUUUGAAUAUAAUAUUGUUUCCAUGUGUCUAGGGCCAAGGAAUAAAAAUUCAUAAAUAUUAAAUAAUAUAUGGGCCCGAGGGAAAAGAAUCUUUACUUUUGUAAGAAUAGGUGAAAUAGUUGGUUUAUAUAUGUAAAUACCAACUCAAUGUGCAACUCAUUUUUGUAGUUUUUUCAUAUCUCUUGCAUAUGUAUAGUCGAAGAAAGAGAGAUAAUGAGGUCAGCUGAGAGAAUGAAAGAGGCAAAUGAGCAUGGACUUUUGAAGAAGAUAGCAAGUUGGGGUCUUAAGUCCAAGAACAUGGUACAUGCAAUUGGACAGUCCUUCCUGAAAUUGCUGGUAUAUAACUUCUUUUUUUUUGCGAUAAUGUGCUAUUAAUUCAUGUCUCAUUUCGGAUAAGUUUGUAUUUGGCUACAUAUCCUAAUUAGUUUUCUAAUUUAUUAGGGUUGCAGAGGAAUGGUAACAGCUGUAGAGUAAGGUGGAUGAAUCAUCUUAGCCCCGAUUUGAAAGGGGAAAUUUUACUACUGACGAAAGUCAUGUUUAAUAUACAAUCUUAAAGCUGCUAAUUCGUAAAAACAAUUGCUUUCUCCUGAUUAUUCUCUUGAGUAGUUAUCGAAUUCACUACUAUUACAUUCUUGCACAUCUUGUCAUAGUAGGCCUUUAUGUAGUCUAAUCCACCAAUAGUAGCAACAUCGUCAUAAUGUUUAGUCUUCAAAAUUAUGUUUUCCUUCAACACCACAAAUGUUAUCUAUACCAAGCUUCUUCUUCAGAUGGACAUGCCAGUAGUUUUUAAUGUCAUUAUCCGUCCUCCCAGGCACGUGUGCUGCAAUGGCAGCCCAUCUACACAUACACGAAAUUUAAAGUGUCAAAUGCAUUAACAUAAUAACAUAAAUUUAAUUAAAGAACAAAACAUUUCAAUUGAAAUCCUUAGAGCAUUUCCGAUGUGCUCUUUAAACAAGCUCUUAACUUUAAAUUUAAAGAGCAAGCCAAGAAUUAGAGCUUCAAUGGGCUCUUAGAGCAUCUCCAAUAGUCUCUUAGUUAGCUCCUAUAUAUAAUGUAAAAUAUUAAGCUCCCAGGAGGUUAAUACAUUACUAAGAGUUUGAACUCCAAUAAUGCUCUCUAUACACACUCCUAACACUAUAUUUUAUUAUUAUUUAAACUCCACUAUGACAAAAGUUCAAAGUCACAUGGGUGAGAGUGAAUAUUAAAUUAUAAAAAACAAGUUAAGAGCCAUGUAGUGGCUCUUAAAAAAGAGGAGAGAGAAGGGGCUCCUAGUAUUUUUAGGAGCCACUAAGAGCCUAUUGGAGCUCCAUUUUUUCUUAUCCUCUUUAUUUUUGAUUUUAAGAGCCAAUUUAAGAGGCUAUUGGAGAUGCUCUUAGAAACUCUUUAAAAAUUUAAGAGUGUACUCUCUCUCCAUUCUUUUAAAUAGCAUCUAGUAGCUCUUAACUCAAUAUAAUAUUAAUUUCCCUCCAAUCUUCUCUUUCUUUUGGUUGACUUUUUCCUCUCAUUUAUAUAAAAUAUAUAUAUAUAUGUAGAGUCAUGCUCCAUUAAGAACCAAUAUUAGCGUGAGAUAUGAGAUCCAAUCCUAACCACUCAUUUUAUAUCUUAUAUCAAUCUCUCAUCAUACAUUAAUUUUUAAUAUUUAAAUAUUUUAUCACUGUCUUUAUUCUAAUUCCACCACCUGCCACCUCCAACCACUACCGACCACCAUUUCCGGCGACCACCAGAAAAUCACCACCGUCAAACCAAAAAUCACCACCGGAAAACUAAAAAUCACUUCUGGAAAAAUGAAAAUUACCACCAGAAUAUGAAAACUACUACACCCAGCCAUUAUUCAUGCCCACCAGAUCCGGCCACCAACAUCGUUUAUAAACUCCGGUCAUCAACAUCAUGAAAAUAAUCACCAGAUUUUACUGGAAAUCGUAACAAUAAUCGGUACGUACCACCACAUCACCACUAUCACCAUCUACAAACCACCACCACUUUCUACAAAUCCCCCAAAUCUGAAAAAUCACUGAUUACAAAACAAAAUCACUAAAAAGGAACUCCGGCCACCAACAUAAUAACAAUAAUCACCAAAAACGCCAUCAUUCAUCACCGCCAUAAGCAUCUAUACAGACCACCACCAUCUACAAACCCUUCAAAUCAGAAAAAUCACCGAUUACAAAAUAAAAUCACUAAAAGUGAAUAAAAAUGAAUAACCUGCUACUUGAUAAUGCUUGAGGUGUCAGGAAUUAAUUAGGGAGAUUGUAAUCACCAAAUGGAGGUCGGAGAGUCGCCGGAAUGCUCCACCGAUGGACUCUCGUUUGCGAGAACGGGGAAGAGUAGAGGGGAGGCAGAAAGUGACGGGGAGAUAGGGAGGAGAUGAAAGGAGGAUGAGGUUUUGUAUAGUCAAGGAUGUGGAGUGGGGUUGCGAUGUCGCCGGCGGUGACAACACCACCGCGACAUCGGUGGUAGCAGCAAAGAAAGAGGCAGGAGGAAGAAGAGAUUGACGGGAAGGGGAGAAGGGAUUGCUUGCUGUUUGUGUAUGGCCGAGCCCAUCUCAGCAGCGGCGGAGAGAGGGGGUUGAGCCAUUGACGGCGAUGACGGCAACAGGGGGUUGGGGUUUUGAAGAGGUGAGAGAAGACAGUGGGUGAGUAGUGAGGAAGAUGGGUGGAUAAAAGAAUAUUUUAAAAUAGAAAUUGUGUGGUUGCGAUUUAAUUUAGGGGUAAACAUGUGUAGCUGAGAUUAGAUCUCACAUCUCACACUAGUUGGGGUUCUCAUUUGAGCACUUGCAUAUAUAUAUAUAUAUAUAUUAUGUAUUAACUUACUAGGAGCCACAUUUUAUAUUAUUGUUUAAGGAAUGAUUUAGGAGCACCGUUGGAGAUGCUCUUAACUGAUAUUUUUUAUAGUUAAUACUUUUAAAAAAGUAAUAAAAUUUUGUUUGACAUUUUUAUUAGCGGUUUUGAGAUUGUAUCAUUAAACACAUAGGCCAAUACAUUAUUCUUUUAAUUAGCCUAUUUAAAAGAUCAAGACAAAUGGGUAAAUAAAAGUGCUGCUACCGGUUGCUGAAAAAGACUUCAUUAGUUUCUUUACCAAUGUACAUUUUUGGUGUUGGUUGCUUUUCCUGUGAACUUGGAGAAGAAUUACUAUGGCAGUGCACCUCGUGUACACGACUAUUUACAAGCACGGCGCCAACAACUUACCCUUUGGGGGGAUUUACAAUCAUAUGGUGGCCUAAGACUAGAUGGCUUUCUCUUCCCUCAAGUCUUGCUCAAAAUAUUUCAGAUGCCAACUGAAAGUGCUCUGUCUAUGCCUUUUUGAACAACAUUGGUUCAUUUGUUACCUCAUGCCUACAAUCUUUAUCGACCCAGCAACUACGUUCCUCCACAUGUCAGUGGUACGUAUCUUUAUUCAAAUCCUGGUACAGAUUUUUACUCUGCUGCUUGGGAUAUUAUCAUUCCACUAGGAGGUUUGUUGCUUGUUGGAAUCAUAUUUUCGCAGCAAAGAUAUGGUGGCCGAGUUAUCCUUCCUAAGAAAUUCAGGGAGUUGGAAAUGUAUGCAAAAGUGCCAGCAAUUAGUACCUAAUGCUUAAUGAGGAUGUUGCUUAUCUGGUUCAGUAAUUUCUUAAUGUAUGGUUGCUGCAUGUGUGCUUUUUAUUUAUCUCAAAAUGAUGUUUGUUUCUUAAUAUUGGUAAUUUUAUUGCAUUUCCGGCCAUUUCUACAUGACUUUUGUUCGGUUGGUAGACUUUUUGGAAUAAAAUUUUUCUUUUACUUUCUUUGAUCCGCGUAUCCUGAUGUUUCUUUGGGGUAUUUUUUUCCAAACGCUUAGGUUUUAUAUUUAUAUUUUUGUGGGAUAUUUUUGCAUACUCUCUGAUUAGAUAAAAGAUUUUUAUGAAAGAAGUCUACCUUUUUUGAUGUUGUAUUUUGGCAAAAUUCAUUGACGUAAAAAUCUUAUGAAAAAAAUGACAAUAAUAUUUGAUGAAUUGUAGGACAAGGUAUAAGAAAGCUUGAUUUUUAUGGAUUAAUUGAUGUAAAAUCUUAUAGAAUUGACGCGAGUGUAGUCGGAUUUUGGCAUAUUUUUUCUAAACUCUUGUAGAUUUUUGAGAGAUUUUCAAAAUUAUAAAAUACACUAGUAAAACCAUCAAAAUUCACUAUUCUCAGAUAAAGAAAAAUUUCGUCUUUUGUUGAGUAUCAUCAAUUUUUAUGAUAUUUAAAAUUUUAAUUCAAUAUCACGAGAUUUUAAAAAAUUAUUUCUCAUCCUUGUUUAAUAUCACGGGAUUUAAUCAAUUAAUGUUGGUUAAAUAAUUUUGAGAAUAACGUGAAGCAAAUAUAUCGUUCAAAAUAUUGAUUAUAUAUUUUAUAAAAAUCUUAAAGUUUUUUUAGAGAUUUCUAAAAUUAUAACAUAUAUUAAUAAAUCCAUUGGAAUUCUCUACUAUAAAAUCCAAAAAAAGAAAAAACAUCACUUUUUAAGUGGGUGUAUCCGAUUUGGAUUUUAAAUGAUUUUUUUUAAUUCAUCAAAUCUGAGGAUAUUCAAUUAGGAUCUAUUAAAAUUUUGAGAUAUUUAAUUGUGAUUUUCAAUUAUUCUACAAUAUCUUGUACUAUUCAAUAAGUUUAUAUAGAUUCUUCAGAAUUCAAGUACAACACUUUAAAAUCUCAUGAAUUUUGGUGGGAUUUCAAAAAAACUUAAAAUAUAUUGAGAAAUCUUACAAAAUUUAUCAUAAAUUCAAAAAAAAAAUAUCAGCAUUGAAAUAUUAUAAAUUUUAAUGAAUUUUAAACAAUCUUAAUUGGAUACCAUCUAAUUUUAAACAUAAUUUAAAUUUCUGAUUAAAUACCACCAGAUUUUAUAAAAUAAAAUCUUAAUUAAAUAUGCGAAGAUUUUAAACUAUUUAAUUAAAUAUUCUCAGAUUUCAUGAAUGAAAAAAAUCUUUUAAAAUCUCGAAUCUAAUAUAGUUUUGGGUUAAAAUAACUUUUUUUCUCUUUCAGGGAGUUAAAAUAACUAUUGAUAAUAUAUCUGAAUUGAAUAUACCUUGGGGAGGAGUUGAAUAUCUCUUUGUACGGGAGAUAUCUUUCUUGUUCUUAUUUAUUGCCAUUUUACUGUUGUAAUUUUUGAACAUAAUUUAAUAUUCUAAUUGAAUAUCAUCAGAUUUCAUCACAUGAUAUAAAAUCUCAAUUGAAUAUUUCAAUAUUUUAAUAAAUUUUAAAUAAUCACAAUUAAUACUUUCAAAAUUUGUGAAUGAAAAAAUCUUUUAAAAUCUCAAUUGAAUAUAACGUCUUAUUUGAAUUGAAUAUUCAAUUGAAACAUCGGAUUUUUAAACAUAAUUUAAUAUUCUGAUUGAAUAUCACCAUAUUUCAUCACAUGGUAUAAAAUCUUAAUUGAAUAUCUCAAGAUUUUAAUAAAUUUCAAACAAUCUCAAUUAAUACUACCUCCGUCCCUUUUUACUUGUCACCUUUGUUAUUGUGCUGGUCAAAUUGAUUAAAACUUGACUGAAAUUUAUAAAUAUUUUAUCAACUGAAAAAACAAAAAAAAAUAUGUCAUCGAAAAUAAUUUUUAAUCUACACUAAGAUGUAAAGUUCAGUUUUUUAAUAUAAUAAAAAAGUGACUGAUAAUUUUUGGUCAAAAGUUAGUCAAUUUGAUCAAUAAAAAUAAAUAUAAAACAAUUAAAAAGCAAAAUAUCUUUAAAAUCUCGAUUGAAUAUUCCUUCAUACGAAUUGAAUGCAGCUCAAAAUCACAUCACAUAUAUAUAUAUAUUUUGAAUUAUUUCAAUCGCUGUGUUUUUGUGUCUCCUCCUCUUAAAAAAAUAAAAUGGCGAUACAACUUACAGGAUUGCAAACAAGUCACGGCAGAGUCACGGUUGAUAUUACAAAUUAGUGUUAAUCGGUAAGAAGUUAUGAAUUAAUUUCUUUAAGUUCGCUGUUUAAAUCCCUCUUUGCCCCCCCUCCUCUCUCCUUUUCAAGAUUAGGGUUUUUACAAUUCAUAAAAUUGAUUGUUGUAAACUGGGUUCCUGAAUUCAGGUCUUAAAUAGAAGGUGGAAGGUUAAAAUCUGUGAUAUUUAUAUAUCAUAAUUCAGAAUUGUGAUUAACAAUUUACUCCUGAGACUCCUAAGCCUUGAGGUAUGUAUAACUUAUUUACUCGAGUACUUAACCCUCUGUUCCACUGCCUAAUUGUGCUUGAUUGUUAGAGUUUAUUACUUAAUUGCUUUGGAGUUUAAAUCUUAUACCCUUGGACUGUGAAUAAAUGUGUUUCAGAUAUGGUGAAACUGAAACGCAAUCUCGGUUCUUUCUUUAAAAGCUGAUAUGUAAUAAUGACAUCCGAAUCUUGUCGAAAUGGUAAAUGAUAGUCCAUUAUCGUAAUUUUCCACUGGUUUCAGAAUUUCUGUUGCAUAUUAGUAAUUAUUUUGCACUGUUGUCUGUUCCAGGUACUGAGUGAUGUAAUGAAGCACUUCAAAAACUUAAAAAGAAGUAUGAUGUUGUUGUCAAUGUACAAGGGGAUGAACCACUCAUUGAACCUGAAAUUCUUGAUGGGAUUGUUAAAGCAUUGCAGGUUAAUUUGCUAUAUUGAGAAUUAUUCCAUUUUUAUGAACUAUCAGAUAGAUCAUUCUUUUGUUCAGCUUAAUAUUUAAAUAUUAUUGUAGAGUAUUGACAUUAAGUUGUCGUUUAAAGGUGUACAAAAAUAGUAGUACCAGGAUGAACUUAUUUUCCUCCCUUUUUCACAUCGUAAGUUGCUUACCUUUCAGUUUAUAUUAUAUUGUUUAGGCUGCUCCUGCUGCAGUUGUUAGCACUGCUGUGACAGCCUUAGCACCCAAAGAUGCUUUUGAUCUGAAUCGUGUGAAAUGUGUGGUGGAUAUCACUUAUCAGUGGUUAUGCAAGUUAAUUGUCACGAGGAUUGAUUCCUUAUAACAAGUCAGUAUAAUUGCUAUGUUACACCUGGCACUCUGACUUCAGAUUAACCCUUUUGUUCUUUAACGUCUUGCUGGAUGUAUUUAGCUUUUGAAUGUAGGUCAGGGAAAGACACUCCGAAAUUUCCGUACAUGCUUCACCAUGGAAUUCAGGUACUUCAAUAUUCUUAUUAUGUAUUACUAGGCAGUCUCUGUAUUGAUGCAGUAAUGCUAGGUUUUUAAUCUUGUACAAAGUUUAGAUACAAAGUUCCUCAAAUUAUAUUCAGAGCUCCUGCCGACCCCUCUGCAACUAGAUGAAGAUCUGGAACAAUUAAAAUUCCUGGAGAAUGGAUACAAGAUGAAGGUGAAGAUCUGGAACAAUUAAAAUUCCUGGAGAAUGGAUACAAGAUGAAGGUGUGUUUCUAAUUGGGUAACAUUCAUUUUCUCGAUAUUGUCAUAUCAUAUCCCUACUCUUUUAUGUUUCACCAAGAAUCUGAUGGCGGUUGCCGCCGGUGCUCAUCUCCAAUGAGGUAAUAGAUUCAGGAGCCAUGUGGUCGGGAUUACCCGCCAAAUAAACUUACUCGUGCUUCGAGAUGAAGCCUCUCAUUAAAAUCCUCGGCAGGCCCAUGAUCCAGGUCCGGCCCACUUGCUAUUUCUACACCUCAAUUAUUAUAUAUUUGUUGUUUAGGUUGACCCUUUGACUUUCUUGUGAUCGUGUAAAUAUAAUGAAUAAUGAUCGUAGUAAUGUCUAAUGUGCAGACAACAGGUCGAGGAUUUAAGUCUUGUCAUAGUGAGAGUGUUGGAUAUAAUUUAGGAAAUAGAGUUCUCGUUUAGUUUGCUACACAUAGGCUUCAUUUGUUUAGAUUUGAGGAAAUGCAGUAAUGUUAACAUACAUUAUGCUUUUUUUAUAUUCGUAUUAUUUAGCUAUUCAACUUUUUUGUAAGUAUUUAUAAUAAGAAUAAUUAAUUAAUCAAAAUAAAAUAAAAUUGGGAUUUAAUUCUAUUUUCAAAUUGAUAUAUCUAGUACACAAUAUUUGUUAUAAAUAUUAUAAAAUAUUUUCCGGCAAUGACUAUAAAUGAAUAAUAAAUUCUAAAAUAAGAACAAAAAGUUAUUUAUCAUAUGUAUACGAUUUUGGGACCCUAAGCAAACUGAGGCACCGUGCACAUCAGCACGUACACGAAAUUUAAAUAAAUUUUAAAGUGUCAAAUCCAUUAACAUGGUAACAUUGAACUGAAAUCUUUAACUAAUAUUUUUUAUAGCAAUACUUUUAGAGUAUUCACAACUUUUAAAAAUGUAUUAAAAUCGUGUUUAACAUUUUAUUAGCGGCUUUGAGAUUGUGUCAUAAAACACAUAGGCCAAUACAUUAUUCUUUUAACUGUCCCAUUUAAAAGACCAAGACAAAUGAGUCAAUAAAAGAGCAGUUACCGGUUGCCAUUUAGAGUUUGAUGAUUGAUAAUUAUUUUAUCUUCGUGGGGUAAACUUUCCCGUUUGAUAUCAAGGCUAAGAUAAUUCACCCACCUCAAUUUGAGUUCUUACCAUAUGCAACCUGGUAAAUUACAGAAUUAAUCAAGAUAUAUAACCAAGUACAAACUCACCCAAACUGAGAAAUAAAUUAAUAGCACUUUAUGGCGAAAACAAAGGACCUAUAUACCAACAAUUUUAGGAACGUCUGUCAAAUAGCAUGUACCAUGUUCUUGGACAUAAACACCAACUUGCUAUCUUCUUCAGAAAUCCAUGCUCCUUUCUUAAUCUCUUCCAUUCUCUCAGCUGACCUCCCUAUCUUUCUUUCUCCUUCUUUUAGAUUAUAUAUAUGUAAGAGAUAUGAACAAACUCCAUAAAUGAGUUGCAUAUUGAGUUGAUUUUUAUAGAUAUAAACCAACUAUUUUACAUUUUCUUACAAAAGUAAGGAUUUUUUCCUCUCGGGUCGAGAUAUUAUUUUAUAUAUACGGAUUAUUAUCCCUUGGUCCGAGACACAUGAAAACAAUAUUACAUUCAAAUUAAUUGAUUUUUUAAGUAGAAGCCAAAGUUUUUUCUUGUCAAGCGUACAUUAUAUGGAAUAUAUUCUUGUACGAGUAAUGUACCUCUCAAGUAUGUACACCUGACAAGAAAAAAACUUUGGUUUGUACUAGAAAAAUCAAUUAAUGAAUAUAAUAUUGUUAUCAUGUGUCUCGGACCAAGGGAUAAUAAUCUGUAAAUAUUAAAUAAUAUCUGGGCCCGAGGGGAAAAAAUCUUUACGUUUGUAAGAAUAUGUAAAAUAGGUUGUUUAUGUCUCUAAAUACCAACUCAAUAUUCAACUCAUUUCUACAUUUUUUUUCGUAUCUUUUACGGAUAUAUAUUGUCAGAUAUAAAUUGAAAUAAAUAAGGAGGUCAGUUAACAGAAUGGAUGGAAGAGACAAAGGAACAUGGAUUUCUGAAGACGAAAGCAUGUUGGUGUUUCACGUCCAAGAACAUGGUACAUGCAAUUGGACGGUUGUUCCUAAAAUUGUUGGUAUUCAUGUUUUGUUUUUUGCUACAUUGUACUAUUAAUUUAUGUCUUAUUUUUAUAUAUCCUUUUUAGUUUUGUAAUUUGCCUAAUUAGUUUGUAUUGAAUUCAAUGUUGUUUCAUUAGUUAAAACAAUUGCUUUCUCUUGACUAUUUUGUUGAGUAGUUAUCAAAAUCCCUAUUAUUGCAUUUUUAUACAUCUGGUCAUAGUAGACCUUUGCCUAGUCUAAUCCACCGAUAGUGCCAACAUAGUCAUAAUGUUUAUAGUCUUCAAAAUUAUGUGUUCUUUCAGCACCACAACUAUUAACUUCACCACGCUUCUUCUUCAAAUGGACAUACAGUAGUUUUUAAUGUCAUUAUCCGGAUGACCAGGCAGGUUUGCAAUAAGGCACAUACACGAAAUUUAAAUAAAUUUUAAAUUGUCAAAUCCAUUGACAUGGUAACAUAGAUUUAAAUAAAGAACAAAACAUUUCAACUGAAAUCCUUAACUAAUAUUUUUUUUAUAGCAAUACUUUAAGAAAAGUUACUACUUCUAAAAAAGUAUUUAAAUCCUGUUUGACAUUUUUAUUAUCGGCUUUGAUAUUGUGUCAUGAAACACAUACCAAUACAUUAUUCUUUUAAUUUUCCCAUUUUAAAGGCCAAGACAAAUGAGUAAAUAAAAGAGCCGUGACCGGUUGACAUUGAGAGUUUGAUGAUUGAUAAUUAUUUUAUCUUCCUCGGGGGUAAAAUUUUCCCGUUUGAUAUUAGGGCUAAGAUGAUUAACCCACCUCAAUCUGCAGCUCUUACCAUAUACAAGGUAAAUUACAAAAUUAAUCAAGAUAUAUAACCAAGUACAAACUCACCCAAAAUGAGAAUUAAAUUAAUAGCACUGUAUGGCGAAAACAAAGGACCUAUAUACCAACAAUUUUAGGAACGUCUGUCCAAUAGCAUGUAACAUGUUCUUGGACAUAAGACACCGGUUUGCUAUCUUCUUCAGGAUUGCAUGCUCCUUUCUUUUUCUCUUCCAUUCUCUCAGCUGACCUCCCUAUCUUUCUUUAUCCUUCUUUUGGACUAUAUAUGUAAGAGAUAUGAACAAACUCCAUAUAUGAGUUGCAUAGUGAGUUGGUAUUUAUAGAUAUAAACCAACUAUUUUACAUAUUCUUACAAAAGUAAGGAUUUUUUUCCCUCGGGUCGAGAUAUAUAUAUAUAUAGAUUAUUAUUCCUUGGUCCCAGACACAUGAAAACAAUAUUAGAUUCAAAUUAAUUGAUUUUUCUAGUAGAAGCCUAAGUUUUUUCUUGUCAAGCGUACAUUAUAUGGAAUAUAUUCUUGUACGAGUAAUGUACCUCUCAGGUAUGUACACCUCAAGAAAUUUUUUUGGUUUAUACUAGAAAAAUCAAUUAAUUUGAGUAUAAUAUUGUUUUCAUGUGUCUGGGACCAAGGAAUAAAAAUCUGUGAAUAUUAAAUAAUAUCUGGGCCCGAGGGGAAAAAAUCUUUACGUUUGUAAGAAUAUGUAAAAUAGUUUGUUUAUGUCUCUAAAUACCAACUCAAUAUUCAACUCAUUUCUACAGUUUUUUCCAUAUCUUUUACACAUAUAUAUAGUCAAACAGAAAUUGAAAGAAAGAUAAGGAGGUCAGUUAACAGAAUGGAAGAGACAAAGAAAGGAACGUGGACUUCUGAAGACGAAAGCAAGUUGGUGUUUAACGUCCAAGAACAUGGUACAUGCAAGUGGACGGCUGUUCCUAAAAUUGCUGGUAUUCAUGUUUUUUUUUUGCUAGAUUGUACUAUUAAUUUAUUUUUUAGUUGAGUUUGUAUUUGGUUAUAUAUCCUUAUUAAUUUUGUAAUUUGCCCAAUUAGUUUGUGUCGAAUUCCACGUUGUUUCAUUUGUUAAAACAAUUGUUUUCUCUUGACUAUUUUGUUGAGUAGUUAUUAAAAUCCCUAUUAUUGCAUUUUUAUAAAUCUUGUCAUAGUAGACAUGUGCAUAGUCUAAUCCACCAAUAGUGUCAACAUCUUCAUAAUGUUUAUAAUCUUUAAAAUUAUGUGUUCUUUCACCACCACAACUCUCAACUUCACCAAGCUUCUUCUUCAGUUGGACACAUGCUAGUAGUUUUUAUUGUCAUUAUCCGGAUGACCAGGCAGGUGUGCAGUAAUGGCAGCCUAUCUGCACAUACAUGAAAUUUAUAUAAAUUUUAAAGUGUCAAAUCCAUUGACACAGUAACAUAGAUUUAUAUAAAGAACAAAACAUUUCAACUGAAAUCCUUAACUAAUAUUUCUUAUAGUAGUACUUUUAGAAAAGUUAUUACUUUCAAAAAAGUAUUAAAAUCUUGUUUGACAUUUUUAUCAUGGGCUUUGAUAUUGUGUCAUUAAACACAUAGGCCAAUACAUUAUUCUUUUAAUUGUCCCAUUUUAAAGACCAAGACAAAUGAGUAAAUAUAAGAGUCCUGACUAGUUGCCAUUGAGAGUUUGAUGAUUGAUAAUUAUCUUAUCUUCCUGGGGCCCGGGGGUAAAAUUUCCCCGUUUGAUAGCAGGGCUAAGAUGAUUUACCAACCUCAAUAUGCAGCUCUUCCUAUAUGCAACCCUGGUAAAUUACAAAACUAGUGAGGAUAUAUAACCAAAUACAUUCUCCAAAAAUGAGAAAUAAAUUAAUAACACAAUUUAGCAAAGAAAAAGUACAUAUAUACUAGCAAUUUUAGGAACAUUUGUCGAAUUGCAUGUACCAUGUUCUUGGACGUAAGACACCAACUUGCUAUCUUUUUCAGGAGUUCACGCUCCUUUCUUUGUCUCUUCUGCUCUCAACUGACCUCCUUAUUUUUCUUUCUCCUUUUCGACUAUAUAUAUUUAAGAGAUAUGAAAAAAUUGCAGAAAUGAAUUGCAUGUUGAGUUGGUAUUUAUAGAUAUAAACCAACUAUUUUACAUAUUCUUACAAAAGUAAAGAUUUUUUUUCCCUCGGGCCUAGAUUUUAUAUAAUAUUUACAUAUUUUUAUUUGUUGGCCCUAGUUACAUGAAAACAGUAUUUAUAUUCAAAUUAAUUGAUUUUUCUAGUAGAAACCAAAGUUUAUUCUUGUCAAGCGUACAUUUUAUGGAAUAUAUUCUUGUACGAGUAAUGUACCUCGGGUAUGUACACUCGACAAGAAAAAACUUAAGUUUGUACUAGAAAUAUCAAUUAAUUUGAAUUUAAUAUUGUUUUCAUGUGUCUUGGCCAAGAAUAAAAAUUUGUUAUAAUUAAAUAAUAUCUAGGCCCGACGGAAAAAAAUCUUUACUUUUGUAAGAAUAUGUAAAAUAGUUGGUUUAUUUCUAUAAAUACCAACUUAAUAUGCAACUAAUUUCUGCACUUAAUAUGCAACUAAUUUCUGCAGUUUUUUUAUAACUUUUACAUACAUAUAGUCAAAAAGAAAUUGAAAGAGAAAUAAGGAGGUUAAUUGACAGAAUGAAAGAGAUAAAGGAAGGAACAUGAACUUCUGAAGUCGAGAGCAAGUUGGUGUUAUAUGUCCAAGAACAUAGUACAUGCAAUUGGAGAACCCUUCCUAAAAUUGCUGGUAUAUAUGCAACUUUUAUUUGCUAAACUAUUCUAUUAAUUUAUGUAUCAGGUUAUAUAUCCUUAUUAGUUUUGUAACUUACCUAAUUAGUUUUGUAAUUAACAUGGUUACAUAAAUUAGCAUUUCAAAUGAAAUCCUUAACUAAUAUUUUUUUUAUAGCAAUACUUUUAAAAAAGUAUUAAAAUCAUGUUUGACAUUUUUAUUAGCGGCUUUGAGAUUGUGUCAUUAAACACAUAGGCCAAUACAUUUUUCUUUUAAUUGUCCCAUUUAAAAGAUCAAGACAAAUGAGUAAAUAAAAGAGCCGUUAUCAGUUGUCAUUGAGAGUUUAAUAGUUUGAUGACUAAUAAUUAUCUUAUAUUUCUCAGAGGUAAAAUAUCCUCGUUUGAUAUUAGGGCUAAGAUAAUUCACCCACCUCAAUCUGCAGUGUUAUCAUUCUUAUGCCCAGGUAAGUUACAAAACUAAUCAGGAUAUAUAUAUUCAAAUACAAACACACCCAAAAUGAGACAUAUUUUAAUAGCACAUGCACAUCAUAGCAAAAAAAAGUACAUAUAUACGAGCAAUAUUAGGAACGGCAGUCUAAUUGCAUGUAUGUAACAUGUUCUUGGCCGUAAGUCACUAACUUGCUAUCUUCUUCUAAAGUCCAUGCUCCAUUCAUUGUCUCUUCCUUUCUCUCAUCUCACCUCAUUAUAUCUCUUUCUCUUUCUCAUCAACUAUAUAUAUGUAAAAGAGAUGAAGAAAUUGUAGAAAUGAGUUGCGUUUUGAGUUGAUAUUUAUAAAUAUAAACCAACUAUUUAACCUAUUCUUACAAGAGUAAAGUUUUUUUCCCCUCUCGGGCCCAAAUAUUAUUUAAUUUUUAUGGAUUUUUAUUACUUGACCCCAGACAUAUGAAAACAAUAUUAUAUUCUAAUUAAUUGAAUUUUCUAUUAUGAAACAAAGUUUUUUCUUGUCAGGUGUACAAACUCGAGUAGUUCUUGAAUGAAAGAAAUUUCUAUGGAAUAUAUUCUUGUACAUGAAAAAAAUUCCUCUCUUUGGAAUAUAUUCUUGUAUGAGUAAUGUACCUCUCGAAUAUGUUCACCUGACAAGAAAAAAACUUUGGUUUGUACUUGAAAAAUCAAAUAAUUUGGAGAUAAUACUGUUUCCUUGUGUCUGGGGUGGAGGAAUAAAAAUUCGUAAAUAUUAAAUAAUAUAUGGGUCCGAGGCAAUUACUUUUUUUAAGAAUAGGUAAAAUAGUUGGUUUUUAUCUAUAAAUACCAACUCAUUUCUGCAGUUUUUUCAUAUAUUUUGCAUAUAUAUAGUCGAAGAGAAGGUGAAAGAGAAAUAAGGAGGUCAGUUGAGAGGAUGAAAGAGACAAAGAAAGGAACAUGGACUUCUAAAGAAGAUAGCAAGUUGGUGUCUUACGUCUAAGAACAUGGUACAUGCAAUUAGAUAGCCGUUCCUAAAAUUGCUGGUAAAUAUGUACUACUUUUUCUUCUUUUUUUUUGGCAAUACCGUGCUAUUAAUUUUUGGUGAGUUUGUAUUUGGUUAUAUAUCCUGACUAGGUUUGUAAUUUACCUGGUUGCAUAGGAAUGGUAAGAACUACAGAUUAAGGUGGGUGAAUCAUCUCAGCCCUAAUAUCAAACGGGGAAAUUUUACCCCCAAGGAAAAUAAGAUAAUUAUCCGUCAUCAAACUCUCAAUGACAACCGGUAACGGCUCUUUUAUUUACUCAUUUGUCUUGAUCUUUUGAUGGGAUAAUUAAUGUAUUGGCCUUUGUAAUGACACAAUCUCAAAGCCGCUAAUAGAAAUGUCCAACAAAAUUUUAAUACUUCUCUAAAAGUAGUAACUAUUCCAAAAGUAUAGUUAAAACAAAAGGGUCUUGUUCCCUGACAUAUGGUUGUCAGGGAACGGUUAUUUGACACAUGGUGCCACAGCCGUUGGAUCGAUGAUCCAACGGCUGUGGCAAAAGAAAACAUUUUUUCCUAUCCGCGCUUAAAAACCGCGGACACUGUGUCUAUCCGCGCUUUUUUGCGCGGACACAUACCCUUUCCGCGGUAAAAAACCGCGGACAUUCCAGAAUGUUUUGCACGCACACUUUAUAACCUAGGUGAUCAACUUCACUUGUGUUGAUCUUGUUUUGGAAAGUGCAGUGGUGAUUUUGUUGAUCUUUUAGGCAAGAAUCUGAUCCAUCUUCCAUCUUUGUCUUGGGUAAGCUUAAUUUGUAGUAGUGUUUUGUUGAUUUUGUUUGUACAAUAAUGGAUAAAAUGUUUGCAAGAUUUGAAGGUAGAAAAAGUUUGAAAAAAACCAAGAAUGUUGAUGUACAUGAUGAUAAGGUUGAAUGUGGUCAUGAUAGAGACAAUAUUAAGUAUGUUGAAGUUGUUGAUAGUGAUGAUGAGGAGUUAGUUAGUGAAGAAUUUGAUGAAAGUGAUAAAAUGUAUGAUGAUAUAGGUAGUAUGCAUGAAAGUAGUGGUAAUUUGCAUGAUCAUGGUGAGGAUAAUGUUGAUGGAGAUGACCCUAUUAUUAUUCCCCACUUGAAUCAACAAUUUCCUAAUUUACAAGCCGGGGAGAAUAUGUUUAGGGCGUAUGCUUUAAAGAAUGGUUUUGCAAUUAAGAUACAAAACACACAGAAGCGUGCCAAAGAUAAAUCCAUAUAUGGUCGAUUGUAUGUUUGUAAUUUAGCGGGAGAAACUCGUGGGAAAAACCCCGUUGAUGACGAUGAAAUUUUGAUUGGUAGUCUUGGUAGUGUUAAGGGCAAACGGCGUAGAGAUGUGCUUCCUAGGAGUGGUUGCAAAGUUAGAAUGUACUUGGUUAAUAAGAAAAAAACAAGUCAUUGGGAGAUAACCGGUUUGGAAUUAGAACACAAUCACCAAGUUGUUACCCCUUCUAAGAUGAGUUUGAUAAGACGGGAGAAACGUGUUAGCGCGGCACAAAAAAAUUUGAUCAAGAGCUUACAUGUUUCGGGUGUCCAACCAAGACAACAAAUGAAUAUAUUUGGUAAAAUGCACGGAGGAGCGGAACAAGUAGGUUUUAACAGCCAAAAUUUAAGAAAUGUCGUACGUGAUUUUAGGAAGGACAACAUGGGAGUUAAUGAUGCUCAAGCCGGUUUGGAUUUGUUGUACCGUUUGCAAGAAGAGAGCGGCGGUAAGUUUUUCAUCAAGACUCUCCUCGAUGACGAACAAAGAUUGAAGUGUCUUGUAUGGGUCGAUCCCCGCUCUUUGAUGGCCUACAAAAACUUCGGUGAUGUGGUUGCGUUUGACACUACAUAUCGAACUAAUAGGUAUGCUAUGCCGUUUGUGCCUUUCACCGGAGUCAACCAUCACUAUCAAUCAAUACUUUUUGGUUUUGCACUCGUUCGGGAUGAAUUGAAGACAACUUUUGAGUGGGUUUUGAGUACUUGGCUAGAAGCAAUGAAGGCAAAUACCCUUGGUUAUCAUAACCGAUCAAGAUCAAGCCAUGGCCGCGGCUAUUGAAUCACAACUUCCGAACACAUCACAUUUGUUAUGCUCAUGGCACAUUAGCAACAAAUUCCCCGAGAAACUUGCAACAUAUUAUUCGAAGGAAGGGUUUAAAUUUGAUUUCAACAAUUGCAUAUAUCACUCUUUGACUGAAGUUGUGUUUGAAGAUCGGUGGAAUGCUUUGGUUUUGAAGUACAAUUUGGAAGGCAAUACAUGGCUUCAAGGGUUAUAUGCUUUGAAGCAUAAGUGGGUCGAGGCUUACACAAGAAACACUUUUUCUGCGGGUCAAAAGACCACAUCAAGAAGUGAAGGAAUGAAUGCAUAUUUCGAUGCCUAUGUUGGUUCUUGCACCGGUUUGAAAGAUUUUGUAGAGGGUGCACAAAAAGCUUUGGAGAGGCAAUUCAUGCGUGAGAAAGACGAGGAUUAUGUGACGUUUCAUAGAAGUCGUUGCAUGCAAAUGAAAACCGCUCUGGAGCACCACGCAGCUUCCAUUUAUACGAAAGAAAUGUUUCGAAGAUUUCAGGAACAAUUGGUUGAAUCAUCUAAGUACUUUGUGGAGAAAGAUAGAGAUCGGUCCUUGGAAGAUGUUCAAGACACGUUCUACAAAUGUUAUAGACCGUUGAUGCGUGCUUCUCAGAGAAACACGUAUCUUGUAUCAUUCAACAAGGUGUCAUUAUGGGGUUCAUGCAUUUGUAAAAUGUAUGACAAUGUUGGCAUACCAUGCCGUCACAUUAUUGCCGUCUUGACGAAGAGGUGUGUGGCGGAACUACCGGAACAUUUUGUGAAACGGCGUUGGACAAGGGACGCCAAUAGAGUUGAUGGCAAGUUGCCAUAUCACACGUCCGAAUUUCAAUCACCAUCUCAUGAAAUGACUCCCACGGAAAGAUUCAACCACAUGACAUUACUUACCAUGGCGUUUAGUCAUAGUUGCAUGGCAUCGAAAGAGCGGUAUGAGUAUGCCGUUGGGGUUAUUAAUCGGGAAACAGAAAUACUUGAGAGCAUGCCCGUUGACGGGGUCGAAAAUGAAGGAGGUGAAUUAAAUCCAAAAACAACUCAAGAAGGUGGUGAGAAAUUGCAUGAGAGUAUCCUUGACCCCUUGGUGUCGAAAACAAAGGGACGGAAAAAAGAGCACCGCUUUAAAAGCCCCGUUGAGGAACUUACAAAAACAAAAAGAAAAUGCCGAUAUUGCAAUAUGUUGGGACAUGAUGUUAGGACGUGUCCCAAAAAAAAAGAAGAUGAUUUAAGAAAAGCUCAAACUGGCCAAUUGUAAUUCACAUUUUAGAAAAAUUUCUCUUAUGUUUUACUUGUGGUUUAUUUGUCCUUCGUAUGAGUUGGUGUAACUAACUUGUUCUUUGUUGGAUUUGUAGGUGAAAUGGCCGACGGUUCGGAUGAUGAGUCAGUGUCACACGUCAGCAACUCAAUCUCGGACUCGGAAGAAAUGUGUGAUUCACCUAGUUUUAGCUUCUUGGAGGACGCGAUUCGUGAGCUCGACGAACUUGCAGAAAUGUACGAACCACCAUCCCACUCGGAAGAAAUGUGUGAUUCACCUAGUUUUAGCUUCUUGGAGGAAGCAAUUCAUGAGCUAGACGAAUUGGCACAGAUGCACGAACCACCUCCCCAAUUGGAGGAAGAAGACACCGAGUUGUACCCGCCUGAGGAAGCGGCCUACCGGUCAAGAAAUUGGACCGAAGCUUGUCAGUGGUGUGCAAGCGAUAACAUGUUCGAAAGGGUGGCUUAUAACUUGACCCCAUAUUUUCUACCUAUUUUGAACUUGGGUAAGGACUAUCCCGACGGGCCAAACAAAGUAUCGUUGUGGGAUGGUGGUGAUAUUGUGACGUGUGAUAGGAUAGCCGACAUUAUGAAGUUGAGGCCUCGCCCGGGUUGCACGCGUGACCAAAUGCGAAUUGAAUAUGUCAAGGGGUGGGUGUCCAACCUUCGUGGUGAUGAUACGGGAAAAUGGAUAACGCGCAAAGAACCAUGGAGCAAAUUUCGUCUCUACGAUGGGUCUAAUAGCAUUCAUGUCACACUAUGGAAUGAUCACAAUACGCAUGCCAAUGUGACCGAAGGUGUGCUCCGUGAAGGUUGUGUUGUUGUGCUGUAUUGGGUGGCAUGCUUCAUUAGAGCCGAUGCGACGCCCGGGCAUUCCACACACCGACUAUCGGGAGGCUUCUCCAACAUUUUAGCAGUGUUUAGUUAGUUAGCUUCCCCGUACCGGAUUAAUGUUGAUUUCAGGUUUUAUAUGUAUUUUUGUGUAAUCGCAACAAAAUAGACACCGUUCGAUGUAUUAUUGACAUUGAAAUGACAAUAUUAUGUAGUAAUUUCUUUGUUAGUGCUAACAUUGUCAAAAUGGUACGAGGUUUUGUCAUUACUUCAAUUAUGGUGUUUCUAGUCUAUUGUAAUUUAUUUAUGAUUUUUGAACGUGUCUAUUCGCGGCAAUAUGCAUGCAAAGUUCACAAAAUUGUUCAAAGUGGUCAUUUUCCAAACAAAUGGCAAUAGGUAAUGAAAACUUAUUGUAUGAACUUUUAAAAGUCAUAAUGUGGUUAAGGGGUCCUAGAAGAGUAUAUAUGAGCAUGAAAGACAGUAAGAGGAGCUGAAAAAAAAAAUAUUCCCACUGGAAUAUCCGCGGUAAAUAACCGCGGACACUCCAGUCCAUCCGCGGUUUUUUAGCGCGGAUACUCCAGUGGUGACAGGUUGAAUGUGCAGUCUGUUUCUGCACAUUCCCACCUGUUUUCAACAGUGUCAAACAGUUCAAAUUACAUACAAACCUGAAUAAACAGCAUUCCAACAACAAUCUCCCAAAGAAAAAUUUGACCAAAUUUUUCGAAGCCUUCAAAUAUGCCCCAAAACGUCAAAAAUUCUCAAACAUCCAAAAAAUGAGCAUACUCCAAAAAUUCUCAAAUUUAAUCACAAGAUAGAGAUUGACAUUCCUAACAAUAUGCAAUAAAGGGGCGGGGGAAACUCAAACGAGAAACACAUAAACAAAAAUUGAAUGAAAGGGGUCGGGGGGUGGACACGGUCGAUAAACGACCGAUAUAAUCAACAACCAAGAUAUAUUGAGAUUGAAAUAAAGUAAACUACAUCGUUCAACUUGAAUAUAUAUAACGUAAAUGUCAUAAACUACGAAAAUGUCAUAAACUACGAGACUAAGAAAAUGUCAUAAACUACGAAAAUGUCCUAUUCCUUGGCUCCUUCUAGCCUUUGCCGCAUAAGAUGACUAGGGAUUCGCCUCGCUCUCCCUUUCUGAAGCUCUUUUGCAAUCCUAAAGCGGAAUAGGUCAACAUCCGAAGUAUCCCACGUCAAGGUGGAGAGGUCAUAACCUUGCAAGGUGUAGUCCAUGUACUUGCAGACGAAGACCCCGCAAUCAAAAUGAUUUUGCUGCUUCGGCAUCUCAUCCCAAACAUGAACUAGAGGGUCCUCUUGCGGGAACUUUUGACCCUUGGCAAGAAAACGAAGCAUCCCUCCAAGUACACCGACCUACAAACAACAAAAACAUGAAAACAAACAUCAGAACAAAACCAUCAUGUAUAUUAGUAGAAGAGGAGUGAAGGAUUUAGUACCAUUGCUUCUUCUUCGUCUGGAUAUUCAGACUUAUCGUUAUAAGGAUCGAGAACCAUGAUAGCCCACUUCUUCACAGCAAAGACCAUGAGAAUCCAGUGAUUGUCAUUGACAUUUGUGGGAACAAAUAUGUAGUCCACCUGGUUGAUUGCUGGACCAACCCCACAGCUUCCCCACUUCAAAUAAAAGUGCUUCACCCUCUCCGUCAUAUUUUUGUAGUCCACUUCCAUGGCCAACGGGAUGAAGAAGGGAUCCAUGAAGUAGUACGUAGGCUCCCUGGGGUGGAUGCCCUCUGCAGCAAUUGCUUCCUCCCGAUCACGUAACAACCACUGCAUCAAAUUAUCAUAUAUACAUAAUUAAACAGAACUAUACAAAUACAAAUAUAAAUGAACGUACAACAUUGAACAAAGACAAAUACAGAGACAACAUGAACAGAAAUUGUACCAUGUAUGUGUAGAUGAUCCGAUCAUCUAACCAUCCACCGGGGGCCAGACUCUGCAUUGAGAUAGGGGCAAGCGUGAACAUAAGAUCAUGUCUUAUACCACCCUCGAGACCCACUGUCAUACCCCUCCCCCAUCCCCAGUCUCUCCGGAUAGUAUCCAUCUUCUCCUGUGUCAAUGUGCGGAGAUGCCUGAUAUAGCGUGGAUGGACAACAUUCCUACUACUAGUAGGAAAAAGGAUAGAGCCUACCACGAAGAACAUAUAGGCCUGUGUGUGAACAGCUAUACGCCUCGGAUCAGGACCUGGAUCAGCACUCCCAUAGGUCUCAAACAACCAAGUCAGCCUCACCCCUCCUCUAGUAAAGCCAUCCUUCACCUGCUGANAACGCCGGGGGCGUAUAUGCCGGGCCUCUAACCGUCUGCAUGAAUCGGCAGUACGGCUCAAUAAAUAUAGGAGCAAUCCUGCUGAACUCGUCAUGAUACUCUGGCGGUAUGGUAGAGUCCAUCCUCUGCAGGCAUUCCAGACCCUUCUGGAUCUGCAUAUAGUUUUAUGAUAUGCAAUCAAAAAAGUGACAAACUUGAAUACAAAUGAAAUGGGAGAUAAACUUGAAUACAAAUGAAAUGGGAGAUAAACUUACAAGCUGAUAGGCCUGGAAGUUGUCAAACAACUCCCGAGUAGAGUACUUAGGCUGCGGCACUGGCUCUGGCUUCCCGACUCGCAAUCGAGAAAUCUCCGUGUACCAAUGCAUGUAUCCGGUGUCAUCCACUGCGUGAGAACGGUGAGCCACUACAACCUCAGGAUGCUCCACGAAACGGGACCAGUCACCAAUCUCCGCAAACCAUAUGGCACGCCAAUCAAUGGGAUUCCAUGGCAGCUUAGGCUGCCUGUAGUCUGUCAUCGAAACUGGGGGUGGUGGGAUGCCCUGUGGCAGUCCAAACUGUCUCAACACUCGCUCGGGAUGCUGGUACUCCACAAUAUCAUAACAGAGCAAUGGUACCCUAGCUAGGCCAGCAAAAUGUGCCUCCCAAUCCUCAGCAGAAAUGUCAUGAUCCCCGUCUGAAUCCUCCUCUAUCUCGUGAAAAUGAGCAUAGGGCAUCCAACUAACUAUAUCGCCAGCAACUCCAUCAAACUCGCCUUUGUAAUGUGGCAAGCUAUGAUGAGGAGCCGCCGAACUAUCCCGCCUCCCCCGUUUCCUCUUGCCGCCCACAAUCCAACCCUCCUCGGUAUCCUCCUCCUCCACAGUCUCAUCCUCCUUUCCCUUCCCCUUCCCCUUCCCCUUCCCCUUACCCUUACCCUUCCCCUUUCCCUCCUCCUCCUCCUGACCCUUCCCCGUCUUACCCUUACUCCCCUUCCCCUUCAACUCCUCCUUCCCUUUACCCUUCCCCAUCCCCGUCUCCUUCCCCGUCUUCCCCUUCUUCCCCGUCUCCUUCCCCGUCUCCUUCCCCGUCUUCCCCUUUUUCCCCUUACCCUGGACCUCAACAACCUCCUCCUCUACCGGCUCCUCCAUGUACACAAUCUCAUCGGGCCUGGCCCAGAACUCAGCUGCCGGGUAACUAUCCCUGCUAGGAUCCGGGAUCGGUCUCCCGAUAUCAAACCUCUCGUAACUCCACAACAUCAACAACCAGACGCAGCAGGAGAUCUUCUUUGACCCCUUCUGUGCAGCUGUAGUCAGACCCCUGUACAGAUAUGAAAGGACUGCUGAUCCCCACGACCAUGUACGCACAUGGCUCAGUGUGCGAAGAUGCCUGAUAUAGCGUGGAUGGACAACAUUCCUACUACUAGUAGGAAAAAGGAUAGAGCCUACCACGAAGAACAUAUAGGCCUGUGUGUGAACAGCUAUACGCCUCGGAUCAGGACCUGGAUCAGCACUCCCAUAGGUCUCAAACAACCAAGUCAGCCUCACCCCUCCUCUAGUAAAGCCAUCCUUCACCUGCUGAGGAGUCAACUCCUCAAACCAUGCCCUCUCGAAAUAUGACUGGUUACCGUCAAUACCAUCUCCAACUAGUGGCCGACCCACAACAGGUAAUCCUAGUAUGUAGCCAACAUCCUCUAGAGUGACUGUCAUCUCCCCCUGCCUCAUGAAGAAGGUAUUGGUCUCGGGCCACCCCCUCUCCACUAAUGCACUAACAAGCCUUGUAUCAUUCUGAAGAACAAUCCUAGGGUUGGCAAACACGCCAAAGCCAACCAUAUGCAAAAUCUCCCUCUGCGCGUCUGAAAGAACCCAAUGCCUUAAGGACCGGUUACUAGACAUACACUCCAAAGGACCACGCUCGACUCCAUUCCAAACAUCUGAACUCACAUGGUACGAGUUAUCCACGAUAACUGCUCCACUAACAGGACCCGGCAAAAUAUCAUCCAUCCUGAAACACAAAUACCAAUCCACUUAGCAUACCAUCAAUUACUAACCGAAGCAUACCAUGAAUUGACAAUUUACAAUCUAUAAACUUAACAUACUAUCAAUACACUUAGCAUACCAUCAAUUACACUUAACAAAUACCAUCAAUUACACUUAGAAUACUAUCAAUUACACUUAACAAAUUCCAAUCCAACAAUCAAUAAACCACAAACCAACAAUAAUUUACGAUUGGUAGCAGAAGAUACCAUCAACUACACUUAGCAUACUAUCAAUAUCCAACAACAAUUAGCACUAAAAACAAACAAUUCUAACUAAAAUUUACUUUGAGGCAUUUUCACGAACACUUAGCAUACUAUGAAUUACACAUCAUCCAUAACAAUGCAUUUAUCAAAUCAAUACCCAACAAUCAAUUACACAUAAUCACUACAUCCAAUCCAAUCCAAUCCAAUCAAUUACACAUAUUCUCGAUUGCAAUACAUACAUACAAUCCGGAAAAAAACAAUUUAUAUACACAUACACGCGAGGAUAUAUAUACACGCACCUUAAGAAUCGUGUUCUUGAAGCUUGGGAGGUUUGUGUAAUCGCUUUCUUGCAGUUGUGAGAGGGUGAGAGGGUUUGUAAAAUCGGGUGCCAUAGCAGUUUUUGUGUUUGUGUUUGAAUAUAACUGUCACUGAUCAUAUACAUGCGUUUGCGCGUUUUAAACCAUUCUGGAAUGUCCGCGGUUUUUUACCGCGGAAAGGGGGAGUGUCCGCGCAAAAAAGCGCGGAUAGACACAGUGUCCGCGGUUUUUAAGCGCGGAUAGGAAAAAAUGUUUUCUUUUGCCACAGCCGUUGGAUCGAUGAUCCAACGGCUGUGGCACCAUGUGUCAAAUAACCGUUCCCUGACAACCACAUGUCAGGGAACAGGACCCAAAACAAAAUUAGUUAAGGAUAUCUGUUGAAAUGUCUUGUUUUUUAUUUAAAUCUAUGUUAACGGAUUUGACACUUUAAAAUUUAUUUGAAUUUCGUGUAUGUGCAGAUGGUAUGCCAUUGUUGCACAAGUGCCUAGUAGGACGGAUAAUGACAUAAAAAACUACUGGCAUGUCCAUCUGGAAAAGAAGCUUGGUGAAGUUAAUAGUUGUGGUGUUGAAGGAACACAAAAUUUUGAAGACUUUAAACGUUAUGAUGAUAUUGCUACUAUUGAGUAUACAGAGAACAUGGGAACGUGCAAACUUGGCGACAACGCUGGACCAUGUUGGUAAAUCAUUGACCUCUAUUGAUCUGUUUUUGUUAAAGGCGUUUUGGCAUAAUUUUUGAAACUAACUUCAUGUUUUUCUAUUAGUUCACCAUCUCCUUACUUUAAAGAUAGUAUGGUUUCUUUCCUUGGUACACAAACCUAUUGAUUUUAUAGUGAAUUUCAUAGUUUCUGUGGUGCACAGUGCAUAAGCUUUUAGUCUUUUGGCUGUCCGAGUCAAGAUAGGUUGCUUCCCGUAAUAUGUAUUUGUUUUCCACUUAAAGCAGAGUCAGUGCUCUCCUGCAUUUCCACUUCUCCGAAUCAACCAGGACUAAUGGUGGUUUUAUCUAGGGUAGCAUACAAGUACAAGAAAUCAAAGUGGCCUGCUUUUCUUUGAGCAGUAGAACAUGACAUCAUCCGCUUUCCCUAGUUAUAAGGAACGGCAAUCCUUAUGGAGGAUUGAUUUAGAGAUCACAGUGGUUCUGAAUGGUUAGAAGUGAAUGAGGUGAUUGUAAGAGUUGCUACAAUGGUAGCCUUUGUCAUGCAAUUUCGCCUUCUUAGGUAAGACGACCGCAUAGAUUAUCACCCAGCCAGGGACACCAGUAAGUAUUCCCGUGUACUAUAUACACACACACUUUUAUAUAGGUCUGGUUUUUUAUUCAAAAUAUAAAUAAAUAAAUAUAUUCGAGAUACCAAAUAAAUUCAAAAAUAUAUUAAAUUUAUUUCAGAUUUAUUUUUAAAAGUCAACUGAAAAUGCUAAAACUGGGCUUGUUGAGAAUGAUGCGCCAAAGGUUGAGCAAGAAGGUCGAAAAAGAUAGUAUAAAAAUUAUUAGAGAUCAUUCUCCAAAAAAUUUAAGUGACAAACAUUUUUCUAAAUAUGGGAUAACUUUUUUGAAAUCUAAAUCAGCCUUCAAUCAGCCUGGACUGCACGACAUGCUGGCUAGAGUACUCAACCGGACAUACCAGUUAAGAUAAAGACUUUAUUGGUUUUAUUAUUUAAAUCUAAAUCUAGUCAAAACAUAAAUAGGUACACUUUAAUAUUAAAUUGACUUUUCACUUUUCAUUACAAAACUCAUUUCAUUUAUUUAUAUAUUUUGUCACAAACCGAGCACUAAACUGAAGUCAACAGAAACUAUCAACUGCUUGUUCCCAGGCCACAAGGGAAUACUUCCAGGUUGCGUUGGCAGUUGGAUCAGACGACUUUUUAUAUAAAAAAAAUUACAUAUUAUAUAAAUAAAAAAAACUAAAAAGUGUUAUAUUGUUUUAAGUCACUAUGAAUAAGAUAUAUUAUUUUAUUUUGAUAAUAGAUAAUGUUGAAUUUUGUAACACGGCCACGUCCAUAACUUCGACAAUUAUAACCAGUGGCGGAACCAGAGUUUAUAAUCAGAGAGGGCCAUUUUUACCCAUAAUAAAGGCCGGAAUAUGCUGGAAAAAGGUUAAAAAAAAGUUAAAAAAAUGGCUUCACAGAGAAUUGAACAUUGGUCUUUGGAUUGCUACACCCCAUCUUCUACCACUUGAUCUACAUAAAACAUGUGAUUAUAGAUUAUAUAACAUGUAUUUAUAGAAAUGUCGGGGGCCCAGGCAGGUCCUAGGCCCAACGUGGCUCCGCCACUGAUUAUAACUAUGUUAAAUUUUUUAGACUUGAUCGAAGAGAAGAAUAUCUUCUAUAUUGCCUUUAAUUUUUAUUUUGUGAUAAAAUUUAUUCAAUUUUAACUAAGAUUGUUAGAGAACGGCAAGAUAGAGACAAAAUUAACGUGGUACGUAAUUAAAAUAAUUCUUCACCAAAAAAUAUACAAUGGGCUCUAAAAUAUAAUUGGAAGAUUCCAUUUAGCGAGUAAAUAUGGUACAACUUGGCAUGCCAGCUGCCUCGCCCAAGCAACUGGUACAAGACUAUGAGUUGACCUGUUACAUCCAUGCAAGCCAAACUAUUUGUAACUAAACACUUCAGUUCUUGAAACAUUCACUCUUCAAGGUGAAAAUUUUCAUAAUAUCCUGCUUUGUUAUAAAUAAUGUUGAGUUCUGGCCAAUCUACAUGGCCUCAUAUUCUUGUCUUGUUGAUUCUGUACAAGUUCACAAUUUCAGCAAGUAAAUCAGUCUCUUACACCAAACACUGUGCUUCUGUUGUCCCUGCGGCAACUCCAACAACUUAUGAUACAAAUGUCCCCUUUUCUGAACUGGAUACCUUAAAUUCUUUUGUGCCAGAGCCUCGAAGAAUCUUCCGCCAGAAUUCUUCUGUAACUUCUCUCAAUUUUCGCUCAGUAGGACGUAUCUAUGAAACAGAUCUUAAAGGUGUUUACAAGAUUGAUGCUGAGUUGAGAAUACGGGUUUAUAAUUAUAUUGAUGAUACUUAUGAUUUUGUGAGCACUUCAACUCAGGGAAGAUCAUCUCGACGUCCUAGGAGGUUUGAACGGUUGAUAUUCUUGAUACAUGGAUUCUGGUCAGAGUCUUCUGGGAAAGGCUGCUUAGUGGGAUCUGCUCCUUGGUACUCAAGUAAAGGUGAGCAUAUCACUCUUGAAGCUAUGUUUAAGAUAAAUUUUUCUAUGAGUUCAACAUAUUCUAACAGUUUUGUAACUGGGGAAUUCGAAAGCUUGAGUCAUUUGAAUGAUGAUAGUUACUUUAAUCCGAUUUCAGUAUAUUCUGUUCCUGAAGUAACUUGGUAUGAGUAUAAGUUAAUAUCUGAGGAAACUGUGAAAGAAUACUAUGUAUUUCAUAAUGCUGAAAGUUCAGUUCCUGGUUCAAAACUUGGAAAGAUAUGUUCGUUUUUCAACAAAAUGCAUCUCUCUGAUUUUUCUCUGGAGUAUGCGCGCAGUUGCAACAGUUCUUUAAGGAAAUGUUCUCUGCUUGACGGAGUAGAUAAAUAUUCGCCUGGUUAUGUUUCCUUGUAUAUCAUUCAAUGCAAUGAAUACAGAAAGAUGAUGCGCAUUUUGGUACGCCUUCCGACCCCGGGCUAUGAUGAGAGGUAUGAUAUGUUGGAUCCCAACACAACAUUAGUUGGGGAAGGAUUGUGGGAUGAGAAAACGAAUUCUCUAGUCAUCGUUGCUUGCAGGACUUCAAGUUCCAGUUCUUCCGGAGAUGCUCAUCUUGGGGAUUGUUCAUUUCGGUUAAGCCUGUAUUACCCUUCAGUAUGGUCAAUUAAAACCAGGGACAAAGUUGUGGGACGGAUUUGGACAAAUAAGACUGCACAAGAUGUAGGGUACUUCGACCCGAUCAAUUUCAGGAAUUCUGUUGGAUUCAUAAAAGUGCCUGGUUUUAAGUAUGAAUACACUGAAAUUGAGAAGGUAUAUAAGCUAUGCCCAAAGAAGGCUCUUACAAGGGGAGAGAGAUACCCAAGUGGAGAGUUCUAUGAUAUGAGGUUUGACAUGUCUUUGCAAGACUCAGAGUAUAUUGGUGGGGCUUCUGCAAAACCGAUCUUCAUAGGCAAUAAAUCGUAUCUGGAUUAUUCUGUUUUUAGAACAAACUCAAGACAGGGAGGUAAUGGAGAAAAUGUAAAAUCCGAAGUGGAGUUUGAAAAUGUUGUUUCGGAUAAUGUUCAAUUGAAUGUUAGUUACAAAUUGGGGAUUUCAUUAAUGAGUGGUGUCAAAUCGGGAUCUGGCCGUCAUUCUAUACUGCAUACAUCCUUCAGACCACACGGUUAUAUAAUUAUAUCUGCUGAAGGAGUUUAUGAUUCUGGAACAGGAUCCCUUUGUAUGACAGGCUGUAGAAAUCUGGCCUUUCGCAAUUUUCAGGACUGUGAUAUAGUCCUGCAUUUCCACUUCCCCGGAUCAACCAGGGCUAAAGGUGGUUUUAUGAAGGGUAGCAUACAAAGCACAAGGAAUCAAAGUGACCCGCUUUUCUUUGAGCAGUUGAACAUGACAUCAUCCGCCUCCACCAGUUCUGAGGAACGGCAAUCCUUAUGGAGGAUUGAUUUAGAGAUCACAAUGGUUUUGAUCUGUAACAUGAAUGCAUGUAUACUUGUUUGUUUUCAGCUUUACCAUAUGAAAAGGUAUCCUAGUACCGUUCCUCAUAUGUCACUUGUUAUGCUUGUGAUACUUGCAUUGGGGCACCUGAUCCCUCUCGUCCUAAACUUUGAAGCACUGUCCAUGGCACCGCAAAAUACACAAACUAUAAAGCUAGGUAGAUUUGAAUGGCUAGAAGUGAAUGAGGUGAUUGUAAGAGUUGCUACAAUGGUAGCCUUCAUCAUGCAAUUCCGUCUCCUUCAAUUAGCCUGGACUGCACGACAUGCUGGCCAGAGUACUGAUCCGGACAUAUCAGUUGCUGAGAUAAAGACUUUACUAGUUUUGUUGCCAAUAUACAUAGUUGGUGGGAUGGAUGCAUAUCUUUUGAAAUGGGAGAAGUUUAACUAUAGCAAGUCAUCGCGUGCACUUAACUAUUCACGAGUUCAGUACCAACAAUAUACUCUCUGGGGAUAUUUGAGAUCAUAUGCUACCCUGAUACUUGAUGGCUUUCUCUUUCCCCAAGUAAUUCUCAAUUUAUUCCAGAUGUCAAGGCAAAGUGCUCUGUCUAUGCCGUUUAUCCUAGGAACGACAUUGGUUCAUUCAGUUCCUCAUGCCUACCACCUUUAUGUCAACAACUAUGUGUACGCAAAUCCUAGUGCAGAUUUUUAUUCUGCCGCUUGGGAUACCAUCAUUCCACUGGCAAGUUUUUUGCUCGUUGCGGUCAUAUAUUUGCAGCAAAGGUAUGGUGGCCUUGUUAUUCUUCCUACGAAAUUCAGGGACUUGGAAUUAUAUGCAAAAGUGCCUGAAGCUUAAUGGCAAUAUUGUUGCUUCUCUGGUUUAGUAAUUUCUGUAAUGUAUUGUUGCCGUUUGCGGGCUUCUGUAUAUUUAACAAGAACUUCUUGUCCUCUCUGAAUAUUGUUUGUUUCUUAAAAUUGGAAUUAUGAUUGCUUUUCUGUUUUGAUUACCAGGCAAGAGCUCUCUUUUUAUGCAGAAUGCGUUUACAGACAGUUUAGUUUGGUCUUAAAUUUUAGCUUAGAUAAGAGGUUUGUCUUGUGGCAUGUGUUGAUGUUUCCUGCUACUUGAACUUUUGAAAAACUGUUACUCCUACUGGGCACUGGCUCAACUUUUCUUCACCCCCAACGGCAUCUCCAACUUUUAGAAUUUUUAACUAAAAAUAAUUAAUACUGAUUAUAAAUAAAAUUUAUAGAGACAUGUAAAAGAAUUUCAAUUUUAAGACAUUGAUAUCUCUAAUUUUAGCCAAAAUCAACAUCUAAAGAGGCAAAAUUUCAUAUCAUCUAUUAUGUUACUAAAAUAAUGUAUGUUAUUUUCAUAAUAAUUUGAAAUGAUAAUUAUAUUAUUUUAAAAUAGUCAUUUAAUAUCAUGAAAGCGGUGUUAUAGAAAUUGGGAGAUGUAAUCGGUUAAGUUACUAAUUUAGGAUUAAUCGUAAUCGAGAAUUAAUCGGGUGAAAAUCAAAUAAGUUUUUAUUAAUUUUUUUUAAUAUUUAGUUAUCAUUAUAUUAGUUAUUUAUUGAAAAAUAUAUUUACUAUAUCAUAAAUUCUAUAAUUGCUCGUAUUUAAAAUGAUAUAGUAUUUUAUUUUUAAUAAAUUAUUAUAUAUUUUUUGAUUAAAAAAAUUGUAAAAAUAAAUCGGAUUUCAAAAACUAAAUUGAUCUGUAAUAUUAUACAAAAAGUAAUCAAUUAAAUUGGAAAUUUUUAAUACACUGCGGGAAAGUAAAAUGUUUUACACGUCUUCAAAUUUUAAGCAAUCCAAUUCAGUCAAACGCUCUAUCCAAAUGGAAUGAUCUGAAUGUGAUGGAAGGUAAUAAUUCAGAAUUUGAGACAUUAAUAUUUUAAAUUUGAGACAUCAAUAUUUUAAAUUGUAAUAAUGAAAGCCAACAAUUGAGUUUUGAAGGAUUUUAACACAUCUUUUGUUAAAAUCUUGUAGGCUUUUGAGAGAUUUCCAACAUUGUAAAAUACACUAGUAAAACCAUCAGAAUUCACUAUUAUAAAAUUAAAAAAAAUCUUUUUUUCUAAACAUCAUCAAUUUUAUAAUAUUUAAAAUUCUAAUAUGAUAUCUCAAGAUUUUAGAAAAUUAUUUCUUAUUUUUGUCCAAUAUCAUAGUAGUAUAAUCAACUUUUUCGGUACUAGUUGAAUAAUUAUGGAGAAUUUGUUUGCAUGAACUAUACUUUUUAAAGAAAAAUGUAUCUUUCACAAAAUUUCAAUUUUUUUAAAAGAUUUCCAAAAUUACAAGGGACACUAGUAAGUUCAUCAGAAAUUUUUUAUUAUAAAAUAUUUAGAAAAUAUAUCUACAUAUCACCGGUUUAUAAAAAUAUUUAAAUUUUUAAUUCAAUAUCUCGAAAUUUAAAAGAUAAUUUACGAUUCUUAUUAUCAAACUUUUAGGUGGUGUGUUCGACUAAGAUUUAAUGGAUUGUAUUUAAUUUUUUGAUUUUAAUGAAUUGUAUGUGAUUUUGAUUUUAUGCAGGUUCUUGAUAAAAUGUCGUAGAGUUGAUGUAGAUUUUUCAAGAUUUAAGCACAAUAUUUUAAAAUCUCAUCAAUUUUGUUGGGAUUUUAAAAAUUUUAAGAUACACUGAAAAAUACCAAAAAAUCAAUCAUUUUAUAAAAUCCAAAAAAUCCAUCAUCAUUUGAAACAAUCCAAUCGAACAACAUUGAAUUUUUGAACAUAAUUUAAUAUUCUGAUUGAAUAUCACCAUAUUUCAUCACAUGAUAUAAAACCUCAAUUGAAUAAUUCAAGAUUUUAAUAAAUUUUAAAUAAUCUCAAUUAAUACGUUCAAAAUUUGUGAAUGAAGAAAUCUUAUAAAAUCUCAAUUGAAUAUAGUGUCUUGUUUGAAUUGAAUAUUCAAUUGAAACAUCGGAUUUUUAAAGAUAAUUUAAUAUCCUAAUUGAAUAUCACCAGAUUUCAUCACAUGAUAUAAAAUCUCAACUGAAUAUCUCAAGAUUUUAAUAAAUUUCAAACAAUCUCAAUUAAUACUCCCUCCGUCCCUUUUUACUUGUCACCUUUGUUAUUGUGCCGGUCAAAUUGAUCAAAAUUUGAUUGAAAUUUAUUAAUAUUUUAUCAAUUAAAAAAAGUUAAAAAAUAUGUAAUCGGAAAUAACUUUUAAUCUACUUUAAGAUGUAAUUUUCAAUUUUUUAAAAUAAUAAAAGAGUGACUUAUAAUUUUUGAUUAAAAAUUAGUUAAUUUGACAAACAAAAAUAAAAAUAUGACACUAAAAAAAUACAAUAACUAUAUUCAAAUCUCUUAGAAUGAAAAAUAUCUUUUAAAAUCUCAAUUGAAUAUUGAAUAUAACGUCUUGUUUGAAUUGAAUAUUCCUUCAUACGAAUUGAGAAUUGAAUGCAGCCCACAAUCACAUCACAUAUAUAUAUUUGUAUUAUUUCAAUCGCUGUGUUCUUGUGUCUCCUCUCCUUAAAAAACUAAAAUGGCGAUACAACUUACAGGAUUGCAAACAAGUCACGGCAGAGUCACGGUUCUAGUUUGAUCUAAGAUAUUACAAUUUAGUGUUAAUCGGUAAGAAGUUAUCAAUUAAUCUCUUUAAGUUCGCUGUUUACACCUCUUUGCCUCUUUAUUUUUCCUUCAGGAUUAGGGCUUUUACGAUUCAUAAAAUUGAUUGUUGUAAACUGGGUUCCUAAAUUCAGGUCUUAAAUACAAGGUGGAAGGCUAUAUUCUUUGAUAUUUAUACAUCAUAAUUCAGAAUUGUGCUUCCUCAGAGAUCAACGAUUUACUCCUGAGACUCCUAAGGCUUGAGGUAUGUAUACAUAUUUACUCAAUAAUUAACCCUCCGUUAACUGCCUAAUUGUGCUUAAUUGUCAGAGUGUAUUACUUAACUGUUUUGGAGUUAAAAUCUUAUACCCAUGGACUCUGAUUAAAUAUGUUUCAGAUGUGGUGAAACCGAAACACACUCUCCGUUCUUUCUUUAAAAGUAUAUCAGAACCUUAUAUAACUGAAGUAGGCACUAAUCAAAGUGAAACUUCUGUGUGUUGGUUGGGGUGAAUGAAAAUGAAAGGAAUGUAAUGAAAUUUGAAUUACAAUUUUGUUGAAUGUUUAAUAAUUUCAUUCCUUUCACUAUUCCAUUCCUAUUAUCCUUAACUAGAGCUCAAACCCUCCACUUUGUGAAGGAAUGUAAUAUUCUUUAUCAUACCUAUUUUCUACUCAAAUCUCAUUUAACAAAAUUUGCAUUCACUCCUUAUUCAAAGGCCUACUAUGACAAGAUGUAUAAAAAUGGAAUAGCAGGGAAUUUAAUAACUACUCCAUAUCGGGAGAAUUCAAUCGUUUAUAUGAAUGAAAAAGGAAAUUCAAUAAAUCCUCCUCCAUGGAAUCAGUUGAAUGAAAGUAUUUACGAUAACAUUGGAAUCCUGACCAUGAAAGAAAUUGAUAAAUUGGUGUUUGAAGAUCUCUUAAAUUGGUGUUUGAAGAUCUUCAAGCCUAGUAGGAUCCUCAUGCAACAAUUUAUCAAUUUCUUCUAUGGUCGGGAUUCCAGUGUCAUCUUAAAUGCUUUCAUUCAAUUGUUUUGUUGGAAGAAGAGUUAUUGAAUUCCUCCUCGUUUCAUUCAUAUACACGUCUGUCUUCUCCCAACUGUUCUGUGAAGUAGUUAUCGAAUUUCUUACUAUUGCAUUCUUAUACAUUUUGUCACAGGACUUAAUCUAGUCUAAUCCACCAACAGUAGCGACAUCGUCGUAAUGAUUAUUGCCUUCAUAGUUCAUUGUUCCUUCAGCACCACAACUAUUAACUUUACCAAGCUUUUUCUUCAGAUGGACAUACUAGUAGUUUUUAAUGUCAUCAUGAGUUCUACCAGGCAGGUGUGCAGCAAUGGCAGCUUAUCUAAACAUACACGAAAUCUAUUUAAAGUCCUCCCUCCUACCCCCUAUUAUUUCCUUUUAUUUUCACACAUUCCAUUCACCCCCUACCAAAC